This 846-nucleotide ribosomal RNA is filed under the name Triticum aestivum (bread wheat). RNAcentral describes it as "partial small subunit ribosomal RNA". Lineage: Eukaryota; Viridiplantae; Streptophyta; Magnoliopsida; Poales; Poaceae. The record is from RNAcentral.
AUGCAGUUUCAGCCAUCGGGCUGCCAUGUGGAGAUUGGUACGGGAGUUAGCAACGCUAGCGUGGAGAGUGUACAAGCAAUCAAGGCUAUCAUGUUUGCAAUGAAUGAAUCCGAGUCGCUGCAUGUUCAUGACAAUUUUUUCAUCGCCACUGUCAUCCCUGAACACAUGAUCUCUGGAUUUGGGACAAAUCUUGAUUGGAAACAUCUAAAACAUUGUCAUGUGGUGAGGUGCUCCAAGGUGCACACAGUCUUCAUGACUAACUAUGAUGGCUGGCCCUUCACAGAAAUAGAGACCUUUUGGGCGGCUGAUCUACCAAUGUCACACUGCAUUUGGAGCAAAGGAAGGACCUACGGUGGCAGCGCAACUAGGUGCUUUGCCAAACUGUGGAGCAUACGCCUAUACUCUUGCCCAAGGCUCGAAUUUGUGCUUCCGUUAUUGUGGGGUAUUCAAGGAUCAUACUUGCACAAUUUAGAAAGUCUCCACAUUGUCAACUGUGGUGAUCUAAAGACGGUGUUCCCUGUUCAUCCUGGCCUCAAAAAACAUGUACUCGAGUUCCCAAGGCUGAAGCACAUCCAUCUGUAUGAGCUCUAUAAGCUGCAGCAUAUAUGUGAGGUGAAGAUGCAUGCGCCCAAGCUUGAGAGGGUAUGGCUGAGGGGCUGCUGGGGCCUCAGGCGCCUCCCCGCCGUCAACCAAGGUAGCCGUCGCCCCGUCGUGGACUGCGAGCAGGACUGGUGGGAGAAGCUGGAGUGGGACGGGCUGGAGGCUGGGCACGACCCUUGCCUCUUCGAGCCAUGCCACUCGUCGCAUUACAAGAAGCCCUUGCCCAGAGUUUCAGUGCUUCGGUGA